CCGACAAGGAACAUGCCUGUUUUCUCCUUCUGAGUUUGGAACUAACUGAGAAAUAAGACCAGGAGGCAGACCACCGGAGAUCAAAAUAUCAGCUGUAUUGAUAGAUAAAGCUGACCUGAGCAGUGUGGCUUGACUUGUAGCCAAAUGGGUUCCUGAAAACGCCCCUCCUGAUCCUUGCUAACCCUGCAAAGCCGGCUUGGCCACACUCGCCACACGGCCAACCAACAUGCAACUGUCCUGUGGACAGCUGGCUCUAAAAGGACACACAGAGAAAAGGCAGGGGCACAUUCAUCAGUCGGUAGCACAGAGUCACUAUCAUUGGCUGUUGAAAAACGUAUCCAAUCUUCUUCUCCCCCACCAAACAAGAGCAUUUGGAAUGAACACUUCAUAGGACGUACUGGCUCUUUACCACCUUCACCCUUGUACCUGGACUCACAAGUCCUCCUGGAUUCUCAGAGGUCCACAGUCUCUGCCAGAAACUCUGGAACGUGGGUACCACUUGAAACAGGCAAAGCGUGGUAAGUACUGCCGUCUUUCUAUGUAUAGUUAUAAUGCUUAGACAUGCUGCCCC
Non-coding RNA from Vicugna pacos (alpaca), 571 nucleotides. Lineage: Eukaryota; Metazoa; Chordata; Mammalia; Artiodactyla; Camelidae. The record is from RefSeq and is a predicted model, not a curated record.